This 2573-nucleotide long non-coding RNA is filed under the name Hordeum vulgare. RNAcentral's name for it is "long non-coding RNA (HVUL_LNC005114)". Lineage: Eukaryota; Viridiplantae; Streptophyta; Magnoliopsida; Poales; Poaceae. The record is from RNAcentral.
CUGGGAACUGCACCUGCUUAAACAUGGUAACCAUGUGUAAUACAUUCGGCAACUACGUUUGAUUAAACACGACAAUCAUGUGUUUAUAAUAUGGCAACCCACUACUGGUUUACAGACAUGNAAUAAAUGGUGACAUCAAUUAAAAUCUUAGUCCUUUUGCAACUAAAACUAGAACACUGUAAAAAACAGAGCAGGAGCCAACCCAAGGAGCCCGCGUAUGCGGCACCGUUGCCUAGUCGCGUUCAAUAAAAAAAGGAUGAUAGGUUGCUUAAUUGAUUCUGCCAGCUGAGUGCAAAAACAUUCUUCCUUCCGAAUAUGCCUAGAACCAUUCGCUUAUCGUGACCGUUGCAACAAGAAUUUUGCGAUCAGGGAUGAGAGUAUUGCUUUCCCCUUGGUGGUGUUUAUAAUCAUCAGAUACUCUAUCCCGACUUCAGCGCAAUUGGCUGGUAAUUCUCCCUUGAUGUACACUGAAUCAGCAAGAUCACACAUGUGUGCAUAGCUGUUUUUUUUACUGGACAAUCAUCAAGCUGCAUGUUUGAAUGUGGAGGAAUAAAAUGUUAUCAUCGCAAUUGUUAUUGGCUGAAUGAGUAAAACAAGAAGAAAAGUCUUGCCCCCUAUGGUAAGCUAAACCUGCGCUUGUGCCUGCUAUGCUAUGGUGAAAAAAAUCUAAAAGGGGGGAGUGCUUAUUUUUGGCACCCAGUGUCCUGUUUUCUGAAAACACUAAAAAGAACUACUUUUGUUUUGUAAACGUUUGUUUAAAGAAAAAUGCUUAGUUGCCAGAUAAUUCGUAAUUGGUUGCCAAUUUUUUUGAACUUAGUAGUCAGAUUACAACUACUUGGUUGUCAUAUUAUGAUUACUUUGGAUGUCGGGUUUAAAAAAAAACACAUGCUUGCCAGAUUUUUAACUUGCUUAACCUGUCAGUGGUAAAUAAUAAUAAAAAGUUCCUACAAAUUAUGAAAGGUGUGCAAAAUUUAUAUUAAAAAAAGCAUGAAAAAGAAAGCGUGAAGAAAAGGCUAUCAGGGACACAAAAAAGAAGUUUACUCUUUGAUUUUUUGACUUCGUGUUCCUUUGGUAUCUGUUGCUAUGCAUCAGCUUAUGAUACAUGUCUUCCUCUUCGUCCAUAAAUGCAAAUUAUGGAAACUGCUCUUUGAUAUUAUUUUUUUGGAAAAUCACUCUAUAUAUAAGAAAUAAUGCAAACCUACUCUAGUAUGAAAAUGGCACACUACACUAUGGUAGUGCAGCGAGAAAAAUGCGUUGUGAUAGUGCGGCUGUGCUAUGGAUAAUGUGACAACCACUCAAUGGUUUAUAUUGUCAAUGGUAAAGAAAAAUGGCAACUGCAGUGAGACAAUCAUAAGAAGUGAUGUGAGGAUGUUGUGGAUCUCUACCAAAAUGAAAUUGAUAGGUGUCUAUCACACUGUUGUGAAUGGACUAUCAAUUAAAUCGCCCUCAUGCACUCAAAACACUAAACGAAUAAUCAUGCACUCUGACUGAAGGGUAAUCAUGCGGAUUCAAAAAAAUGACAAAGCUUAUUUGAUUCGUCUCACAAGCAAAAGGCAGAACGGUUACCAAGUUUUGAACAUCAUGCAGGUUUAUUCUCAAACACAUGUUCUGAAUCUCUUUGCUACUCUGAAUGAACUGCAUGAAGUGGCACAAAACACACAUGAUCUGAGUCUCUUCCUACUCAAAAUGAUCUGCAUCGGGUGCCACAAAGAAAACAUGUUGUGAAUCUCUUACUACUCUGAAUGAACAACAUGUACAAGCACACGUUUCUGAAACUACUGCUAUUCUGAAUGAAUUGCAGGAAAUUAGCAGGCGGUGAAUGAAAAACAAAUCAAUGGAUUGUUCCUGACUAGCAGUAGAGCAAGCAGGGUUGAGGACGCCGUUGGCCUACGCCGGAGAAGCACCCUACCAUCAGCAUUCAGCAGCACCGUUGUCUUCUUUAUCCCCUCACUCACAAACCGCGCGCCUACUCCUCCCUAGCCGGCGCAGAUCGAGCGAGCCUCCCUCGUCCCCCAGGCCCACCACACCAAAAUCAAACCCCGCCGCUUCCACGACGGGACAUGGCGGUGGUUGCUGCCACGCAGCCGCUUCCACGACGACGGCUAGUGUGGUUCCCUUCGUGGCGUCGUUUUUUAAAAUUGUCGCUUCGCCUCGCUCAAGAGAGAGGAGAAAAAAAUGUGAGAGGGAACAUAACAUCGGCGAACUCACCCGAUCGGAGUUGCCUGCGCGCCGACGAGCAGAGGGGGUCCGAUCGAGAGGAGAGUAGCCGUCUCCGCCUUUCCCACGAAACAGGUGAGCCACCGGGGUGGAGGAUGAAGGGGAAUAGGGAGGAGAACAAACAGCACCGAUGGUAGCGCGCCGCCGCACGGGACACGAUAUUUCACGUACGAACCGUACGUACGUCAGUUAGACUCAAACUGCAGCGACAGCUGGAUUUUCCAUCUCGUACUGUAUGAGAAUAGGAAAAAGGACUAGUCGUACGUGCAGUAGUUUAGUAGAUUUUCCCAGUUUCCCUAGAUAAAAUCUAUAUACACGGUUUCCCGCAAAAAAAAAAAAUCUAUAUAAACGGCGUG